Molecule: ribosomal RNA, 404 nt
Filed under: uncultured bacterium
Lineage: Bacteria
Description: bacterial SSU rRNA
Rfam family: Bacterial small subunit ribosomal RNA
Source: RNAcentral
UGGGGAAUCUUGGACAAUGGGGGAAACCCUGAUCCAGCCAUGCCGCGUGAGUGAUGAAGGCCUUCGGGUUGUAAAACUCUUUUACCAGGGAAGAUAAUGACUGUACCUGGAGAAUAAGCCCCGGCUAACUUCGUGCCAGCAGCCGCGGUAAUACGAAGGGGGCUAGCGUUGUUCGGAAUUACUGGGCGUAAAGCGCGCGCAGGCGGUUCUUCAAGUCAGGGGUGAAAGCCCAGAGCUCAACUCUGGAAUUGCCUUUGAAACUGUAGAACUUGAGUACGAGAGAGGUGAGUGGAAUUCCCAGUGUAGAGGUGAAAUUCGUAGAUAUUGGGAAGAACACCGGUGGCGAAGGCGGCUCACUGGCUCGUUACUGACGCUCAGGCGCGACAGCGUGGGGAUCAAACAGG